Molecule: non-coding RNA, 73 nt
Organism: Bos taurus (domestic cattle)
Lineage: Eukaryota; Metazoa; Chordata; Mammalia; Artiodactyla; Bovidae
Source: Rfam
UCCCUGGUGGUCCAGUGGUUAAGACUCUGAGCUCUGAAUGCAGGGAGCAAGGGUUCGAUCCCUGAUCAGGGAA